CAGGAUGAACGCUGGCGGCGUGCUUAACACAUGCAAGUCGAACGGAGUUAGAUGAAACCUAGUGAUUCUAAACUUAGUGGCGGACGGGUGAGUAACGCGUGGGUAACCUGCCAUAUACAGGGGGAUAACACUUAGAAAUAGGUGCUAAUACCGCAUAAGCGCACAGGACCGCAUGGUCUGGUGUGAAAAACUCCGGUGGUAUAUGAUGGACCCGCGUCUGAUUAGCUAGUUGGUGAGGUAACGGCCCACCAAGGCGACGAUCAGUAGCCGGCCUGAGAGGGUGAACGGCCACAUUGGGACUGAGACACGGCCCAAACUCCUACGGGAGGCAGCAGUGGGGAAUAUUGCACAAUGGGGGAAACCCUGAUUGCAGCGACGCCGCGUGAGUGAAGAAGUAUUUCGGUAUGUAAAGCUCUAUCAGCAGGAAAGAAAAUGACGGUACCUGACUAAGAAGCCCCGGCUAACUACGUGCCAGCCGCCGC
RNAcentral lists this ribosomal RNA (482 nucleotides) under uncultured bacterium. Its description in RNAcentral is "bacterial SSU rRNA". It matches the Rfam family "Bacterial small subunit ribosomal RNA", at positions 25 to 518 of the family's 1533-position model. The record is from RNAcentral.